This 75-nucleotide transfer RNA is filed under the name Granulicella aggregans. Its description in RNAcentral is "tRNA-Pro". It matches the Rfam family "tRNA". From Rfam's summary of the family: Transfer RNA (tRNA) molecules are approximately 80 nucleotides in length. Their secondary structure includes four short double-helical elements and three loops (D, anti-codon, and T loops). Further hydrogen bonds mediate the characteristic L-shaped molecular structure. tRNAs have two regions of fundamental functional importance: the anti-codon, which is responsible for specific mRNA codon recognition, and the 3' end, to which the tRNAs corresponding amino acid is attached (by aminoacyl-tRNA synthetases). tRNAs cope with the degeneracy of the genetic code in two manners: having more than one tRNA (with a specific anti-codon) for a particular amino acid; and 'wobble' base-pairing, i.e. permitting non-standard base-pairing at the 3rd anti-codon position. Lineage: Bacteria; Pseudomonadati; Acidobacteriota; Terriglobia; Terriglobales; Acidobacteriaceae. The record is from RNAcentral.
CGGGGAGUGGUGUAAUGGCCGGCAUCCUAGUUUUGGGAACUAGCGGUGGGAGUUCGAUUCUCCGCUCCCCGACCA